Molecule: ribosomal RNA, 464 nt
Filed under: uncultured bacterium
Lineage: Bacteria
Description: partial 16S ribosomal RNA
Rfam family: Bacterial small subunit ribosomal RNA
Source: RNAcentral
CUACGGGUCGCUGCAGUGGGGAAUAUUGCACAAUGGGCGCAAGCCUGAUGCAGCCAUGCCGCGUGUAUGAAGAAGGCCUUCGGGUUGUAAAGUACUUUCAGCGGGGAGGAAGGGAGUAAAGUUAAUACCUUUGCUCAUUGACGUUACCCGCAGAAGAAGCACCGGCUAACUCCGUGCCAGCAGCCGCGGUAAUACGGAGGGUGCAAGCGUUAAUCGGAAUUACUGGGCGUAAAGCGCACGCAGGCGGUUUGUUAAGUCAGAUGUGAAAUCCCCGGGCUCAACCUGGGAACUGCUUCUGAUACUGGCAAGCUUGAGUCUCGUAGAGGGGGGUAGAAUUCCAGGUGUAGCGGUGAAAUGCGUAGAGAUCUGGAGGAAUACCGGUGGCGAAGGCGGCCCCCUGGACGAAGGCUGACGCUCAGGUGCGAAAGCGUGGGGAGCAAACAGGAUUAGAUACCCCCGUAGUC